UGGGGAAUAUUGGACAAUGGGCGAAAGCCUGAUCCAGCCAUGCCGCGUGUGUGAAGAAGGUCUUCGGAUUGUAAAGCACUUUAAGUUGGGAGGAAGGGCAGUUACCUAAUACGUGAUUGUUUUGACGUUACCGACAGAAUAAGCACCGGCUAACUCUGUGCCAGCAGCCGCGGUAAUACAGAGGGUGCAAGCGUUAAUCGGAAUUACCGGGCGUAAAGCGCGCGUAGGUGGUUUGUUAAGUUGGAUGUGAAAUCCCCGGGCUCAACCUGGGAACUGCAUUCAAAACUGACUGACUAGAGUAUGGUAGAGGGUGGUGGAAUUUCCUGUGUAGCGGUGAAAUGCGUAGAUAUAGGAAGGAACACCAGUGGCGAAGGCGACCACCUGGACUAAUACUGACACUGAGGUGCGAAAGCGUGGGGAGCAAACA
RNAcentral lists this ribosomal RNA (427 nucleotides) under Pseudomonas sp. Its description in RNAcentral is "partial 16S ribosomal RNA". It matches the Rfam family "Bacterial small subunit ribosomal RNA", at positions 355 to 774 of the family's 1533-position model. The record is from RNAcentral. RNAcentral also lists the same sequence under 1 other name. Lineage: Bacteria; Pseudomonadati; Pseudomonadota; Gammaproteobacteria; Pseudomonadales; Pseudomonadaceae.